UGAUGGGAGAGGCAUGAUAUAUUGGGGCGAAGGGGCGGCACGGACAGAGUUUCAUCCUUGUUGCCCCGGCUGGAGUUCAAUGGUGCAAUCUCAGCUCACUGCAACUCCCCUGAUCUCAGGCCAUCCGCCCACCUCAGCCUCCCAAAGUGCUGGGAUUACAGGCAUGAGCCACCACGCCCGGCCUCUGCUUUCUUUCUCUGUGAUUUGACUAUUCCAGAUCCCUCAUCUGGGAGUUAAAAAAAAUUCUGCCGUAGCCUACCGCCUCAUGACUUUGAGUCUGUCUGUAUUACACCAAGACAACAUAGAAGUUAUGAGACUACAGAAUCCUGGCGAGGAACCUAUUCCUAUAUUUACCUCCAUCUCUCUGGUACCUGGCCUAAGUCUACACAGUAGAUUUAUCCUGAAAUCUGCUCCAGGAGUUCUGUACAUCUCAUGUUGCAGGGCUGCGGUGCUGUGAAGAUUUCGGCAUCCUGCACUCAUGGCCAUGUUUAGUCUAUGGUCACAUUGACACUAGAGAGUUUCAGGGACCAGUGCAGUAUGCCCAGGUCUGACAUGGGCUUCCAAAAUGUAUGUGAACAGAGUAAGAAUGAUACUUUUUUGCUUUUCAAAAUAUUUCACAGCUUAGGUGGCACUUACCCUUAUCCCUUCUUUUCUGUCUUUACUGAUAAAUACUCAUCACCUUAGAUUAUUUUAACAUCUAACAACUUUCAGUUGCAAUUAGAAAAUAUCUUUAGACAUGUUAAUUAUAAAAAUAUUCUUCAUUUAUGAAAUUGAUUACGCCUAGUGACUUCAUUCACCAAUUGUCUCAAAAUCUUGCCUUUAAACUACCCUCAGGAGGAAUCUCCAUGUUCACAAAAGAAAAGAGGGCAAAGGCCAGGCACAGUGGCUCACACCUAUAAUCCCAGCACUUUGAGAGGCUGAGGUGGGAGGAUUGCUUGAACCUAGGAGUUCCAGACCAGCGUGGGCAACAUGAUGAAACCCCGUCUC
RNAcentral lists this long non-coding RNA (987 nucleotides) under Homo sapiens (human). Its description in RNAcentral is "HSALNT0133779". The record is from RNAcentral. Lineage: Eukaryota; Metazoa; Chordata; Mammalia; Primates; Hominidae.